Molecule: ribosomal RNA, 253 nt
Filed under: uncultured bacterium
Lineage: Bacteria
Description: partial 16S ribosomal RNA
Rfam family: Bacterial small subunit ribosomal RNA
Source: RNAcentral
GACAGAGGAGCCAAGCGUUGUCCGGAUUGACUGGGCGUAAAGGGCACGCAGGCGGCGCCGCGCGUGGGGUGUGAAAGCGGGUGGCUUAACUGCCCAAGGUCAUCCCAUACGGCGGUGCUGGAGCCAUCCAGAGGUCGGUGGAAUUGCCGGUGUAGUGGUGAAAUGCGUAGAUAUCGAGAGGAACACCUGCGGCGAAGGCGGGUUGCUGGGCUGAUACUGACGCUGAGGCGCGAAAGCCAGGGGAGCGAACGGG